GACGAACGCUGGCGGCGUGCUUAACACAUGCAAGUCGAACGAUGAAGAAGAGCUUGCUCUUCGGAUUAGUGGCGAACGGGUGAGUAACACGUGACUAACCUGCCCCUUUCUCUGGGAUAACGCUCCGAAAGGAGUGCUAAUACCGGAUACUCACAUCGAGGCACAUGCCUUGAUGUGGAAAGUUUUUCGGAAAGGGAUGGAGUCGCGGCCUAUCAGCUUGUUGGUGAGGUAACGGCUCACCAAGGCGACGACGGGUAGCCGGCCUGAGAGGGCGACCGGCCACACUGGGACUGAGACACGGCCCAGACUCCUACGGAAGGCAGCAGUGGGGAAUAUUGCACAAUGGGCGAAAGCCUGAUGCAGCGACGCCGCGUGAGGGAUGAAGGUCUUCGGAUUGUAAACCUCUUUCAGUAGGGACGAAGCGAAAGUGACGGUACCUAAAGAAGAAGCACCGGCUGACUACGUGCCAGCAGCCGCCGUAA
This 482-nucleotide ribosomal RNA is filed under the name uncultured bacterium. Its description in RNAcentral is "partial 16S ribosomal RNA". It matches the Rfam family "Bacterial small subunit ribosomal RNA", at positions 28 to 523 of the family's 1533-position model. The record is from RNAcentral.